RNAcentral lists this ribosomal RNA (484 nucleotides) under uncultured bacterium. Its description in RNAcentral is "partial 16S ribosomal RNA". It matches the Rfam family "Bacterial small subunit ribosomal RNA", at positions 30 to 507 of the family's 1533-position model. The record is from RNAcentral.
AUUGAACGCUGGCGGCAGGCCUAACACAUGCAAGUCGAGCGGAUGAAGGGAGCUUGCUCCUGGAUUCAGCGGCGGACGGGUGAGUAAUGCCUAGGAAUCUGCCUGGUAGUGGGGGAUAACGUCCGGAAACGGGCGCUAAUACCGCAUACGUCCUGAGGGAGAAAGUGGGGGAUCUUCGGACCUCACGCUAUCAGAUGAGCCUAGGUCGGAUUAGCUAGUUGGUGGGGUAAAGGCCUACCAAGGCGACGAUCCGUAACUGGUCUGAGAGGAUGAUCAGUCACACUGGAACGGAGACACGGUCCAGACUCCUACGGGAGGCAGCAGUGGGGUAUAUUGGGCAAUGGGCGAAAGCCUGAUCCAGCCAUGCCGCGUGUGUGAAGAAGGUCUUCGGAUUGUAAAGCCCUUUAAGUUGGGAGGAAGGGCAGUAAGUUAAUACCUUGCUGUUUUGACGUUACCAACAGAAUAAGCACCGGCUAACUUCGUG